GGGUCGUUAGCUCAGUCGGUAGAGCAGCGGUCUUUUAAUCCGUUGGUCGAAGGUUAGAAUCCUUCACGACCCACCAUUU
Molecule: transfer RNA, 79 nt
Filed under: Actinobacillus pleuropneumoniae serovar 3 str. JL03
Lineage: Bacteria; Pseudomonadati; Pseudomonadota; Gammaproteobacteria; Pasteurellales; Pasteurellaceae
Description: tRNA-Lys
Rfam family: tRNA
About the family: Transfer RNA (tRNA) molecules are approximately 80 nucleotides in length. Their secondary structure includes four short double-helical elements and three loops (D, anti-codon, and T loops). Further hydrogen bonds mediate the characteristic L-shaped molecular structure. tRNAs have two regions of fundamental functional importance: the anti-codon, which is responsible for specific mRNA codon recognition, and the 3' end, to which the tRNAs corresponding amino acid is attached (by aminoacyl-tRNA synthetases). tRNAs cope with the degeneracy of the genetic code in two manners: having more than one tRNA (with a specific anti-codon) for a particular amino acid; and 'wobble' base-pairing, i.e. permitting non-standard base-pairing at the 3rd anti-codon position.
Source: RNAcentral